GAUGAACGCUGGCGGCGUGCCUAAUACAUGCAAGUCGAGCGAACAGACGAGGAGCUUGCUCCUCUGACGUUAGCGGCGGACGGGUGAGUAACACGUGGAUACCCUACCUAUAAGACUGGGAUAACUUCGGGAAACCGGAGCUAAUACCGGAUAACAUGUUGAACCGCAUGGUUCAACAGUGAAAGACGGUCUUUCUGUCACUUAUAGAUGGAUCCCCGCCGCAUUAGCUGGUUGGUAAGGUAACGGCUUACCAAGGCAACCAUGGGUAGCCGACCUGAGAGGGGGAUAGGCCACACUGGAACGGGGACGCGGUCCAGAGUCCUGCGGGAGGCAGCAGUAGGGAAUCGGACGCAAUGGGCGAGAGCAUGACGGAGCGGCGCCGCGUGAGAGGUGAAGGUCUUGGGAUCGUAAAGCUGUGUUAUUGGGGAAGAACAAAUGUGUCAGUAACUAUGCACGUAUUGACGGUACCUAGUCAGAAAGCCACGGCUAACUACGUG
RNAcentral lists this ribosomal RNA (497 nucleotides) under uncultured bacterium. RNAcentral's name for it is "partial 16S ribosomal RNA". It matches the Rfam family "Bacterial small subunit ribosomal RNA", at positions 28 to 507 of the family's 1533-position model. The record is from RNAcentral.